RNAcentral lists this ribosomal RNA (1072 nucleotides) under Azospirillum formosense. RNAcentral describes it as "bacterial SSU rRNA". It matches the Rfam family "Bacterial small subunit ribosomal RNA", at positions 398 to 1470 of the family's 1533-position model. Lineage: Bacteria; Pseudomonadati; Pseudomonadota; Alphaproteobacteria; Rhodospirillales; Azospirillaceae. The record is from RNAcentral.
ACCUUGAGUUCACUUAGGGUUGUAAAGCUCUUUCGCACGCGACGAUGAUGACGGUAGCGUGAGAAGAAGCCCCGGCUAACUUCGUGCCAGCAGCCGCGGUAAUACGAAGGGGGCGAGCGUUGUUCGGAAUUACUGGGCGUAAAGGGCGCGUAGGCGGCCUGUUUAGUCAGAAGUGAAAGCCCCGGGCUUAACCUGGGAACGGCUUUUGAUACUGGCAGGCUUGAGUUCCUGGAGCAGGAUGGUGGAAUUCCCACGUGUAGAGGUGAAAAUUCGUAGAUUAUUGGGAAGAACACCGGUGGCGAAGGCGGCCAAUCUGGACGGACACUGACGCUUAGGGCGCGAAAGGUGGGGGCAGCAAACAGGAUUAGAUAUCCUGGGUUGGGCACGCCCGUAUAACGAUGAAAUGCUAGACGCUGGGGUGAAUGACCUUCGGUGUCGCACCUAACGCAGUAAGCAUUCCGCCUGGGGAGUACGACCGCAAGGUUAAAACUCAAAGGAAUUGACGGGGGCCCGCACAAGCGGUGGAGCAUGUGGUUUAAUUCGAAGCAACGCGCAGAACCUUACCAAGCCUUGACAUGUCCCACUACCGGCUCGAGAGAUUCGAGCUUUCAUGUUCGGCUGGGGUGGACACAGUGUGCUGCAUUGGUUGUCGUCAGCUCGUGUCGUGAGAUGUUGGGUAUAGUCCGCAACGAGCGCAACCCCUACCGUCAGUUGCCAUCAUUCAGUUGGGCACUCUGGGUGGAACCUGCCGGUGACAAGCCCGGAGGAAGGCGGGGAUGACGUCAAGUCCUCAUUGNCCUUUAUGGGUUGGGCUACACACGUGCGUACAAUGUGGCGGUGACAGUGGGAAGCGAAGUCGCAAGAUGGGAGCCAAUCCCCAAAAGCCGUCUCAGUUCGGAUUGCACUCUGCAACUCGGUGCAUGAAGUUGGAAUCGCUAGUAAUCGCGGAUCAGCUACGCCGCGGUGAAUACGUUCCCGGUCAUGUGUACACACUCGCCCGUCACAACAUGGGAGUGUGCGUUAUCACGAAGUGGGUGCUGCUACACGCAGGAUACUCUUGCCGUUCCAUCUU